This 963-nucleotide ribosomal RNA is filed under the name uncultured bacterium. Its description in RNAcentral is "bacterial SSU rRNA". It matches the Rfam family "Bacterial small subunit ribosomal RNA", at positions 8 to 978 of the family's 1533-position model. The record is from RNAcentral.
AGAGUUUGAUCAUGGCUCAGGAUAAACGCUGGCGGCGUGCCUAACACAUGCAAGUCGAACGUCCUUUCUUGCUUCGGCGAGAGAGGGAGUGGCGGACGGGUGAGGAACACAUGGGUGACCUAGCCCCUGGUGAGGGAUACCGGCGAGAAAUCGCCGACAAGCCCGCAUAGGGUCGCUCUGGUAGAGCGGAGCGAGCAAAGUCUGGUUCGAGAGAGGCAGACGCGAGGGGAUGGGCCUGUGGCCGAUUAGCUGGUUGGUGGGGUAAGAGCCUACCAAGGCGACGAUCGGUAGCUGGUCUGAGAGGACGGACAGCCACACUGGGAUUGAGAACGGCCCAGACUCCUACGGGGGGCAGCAGUGAGGAAUUUUCCGCAAUGGGCGCAAGCCUGACGGAGCAACGCCGCGUGCAGGAGGACGCUUUUCGGAGUGUAAACUGCUUUUCUGUGGGACGAGAGAGGACGGUACCACAGGAAGAAGCCCCGGCUAACUACGUGCCAGCAGCCGCGGUAAUACGUAGGGGGCGAGCGUUGUCCGGAGUUACUGGGCGUAAAGGGCAUGCAGGCGGUCGGGCGCGUUUAGUGUGACAGCGCAUGGCUCAACUAUGCGAGCAUACGAAAGACGGCCUGACUUGAGGACUCGAGAGGGACACGGAAUUCCGGGUGGAGUGGUGAAAUGCGUAGAGAUCCGGAGGAACACCGAAGGCGAAGGCAGUGUCCUGGCGAGUGACUGACGCUGAGGUGCGAAAGCCAGGGGAGCGAACGGGAUUAGAUACCCCGGUAGUCCUGGCCGUAAACGAUGACCACCAGGUGUGGGAGGUAUCGACCCCUUCUGUGCCGUAGGGAACCCAUUAAGUGGUCCGCCUGGGGAGUACGGUCGCAGAUUAAAACUCAAAGGAAUUGACGGGGACCCGCACAAGCAGCGGAGCGUGUGUUUAAUUCGAUGCGACGCGAAGAACCUACCAGG